RNAcentral lists this long non-coding RNA (387 nucleotides) under Mytilus galloprovincialis (Mediterranean mussel). The record is from RNAcentral. Lineage: Eukaryota; Metazoa; Mollusca; Bivalvia; Mytilida; Mytilidae.
GUUCCCUUUAUACAUCCUGCAGAACUAGAAAUUGAAGAAACAACAGACACGGCAUCUGUUUUCUCGUUUGAAUUGUUUUACAUUGUCUUAUCGGGGCCUUUUAUAGCUGACUAUGCGGUAUGGGCUUUGCUCAUUGUUGAGGGCCGUACGGUGACCUAUAGUUGUUAAUGUCUGUGUCAUUUUGGUCUCUUGUGGACAGUUGUCUCAUUGGCAAUCAUACCACAUCUUCUUUUUUUUAUAUUUCCUAUGCCUUGUUUUCAGACUUAAACAUCAAAUUUGACAUCAGCGGUCACCUCAGUACCAAAGGAUAUCGAACGCUUUCAAUUUUUAAAUAAUCAAUUUCCCCAACCUUAGUAGUAAUAUAUUAACUUCACUUGUAUAUGGGAU